This 483-nucleotide ribosomal RNA is filed under the name uncultured bacterium. Its description in RNAcentral is "bacterial SSU rRNA". It matches the Rfam family "Bacterial small subunit ribosomal RNA", at positions 30 to 507 of the family's 1533-position model. The record is from RNAcentral.
UUGAACGCUGGCGGCAUGCCUUACACAUGCAAGUCGAACGGCAGCACGGGGCGAACCUGGUGGCGAGUGGCGAACGGGUGAGUAAUGCAUCGGAACGUGCCAUUGAGUGGGGGGUAACGUAGCGAAAGUUACGCUAAUACCGCAUAUUCUGUGAGCAGGAAAGCAGGGGAUCGCAAGACCUUGCGCUCUUUGAGCGGCCGAUGUCAGAUUAGCUAGUUGGUGAGGUAACGGCUUACCAAGGCGACGAUCUGUAGCGGGUCUGAGAGGAUGAUCCGCCACACUGGAACUGAGACACGGUCCAGACUCCUACGGGAGGCAGCAGUGGGGAAUUUUUGGACAAUGGGGGCAACCCUGAUCCAGCCAUGCCGCGUGAGUGAAGAAGGCCUUCGGGUUGUAAAGCUCUUUCGGCCGGGAAGAAAUCGCAUGGGUUAAUACCCUGUGUGGAUGACGGUACCGGCAUAAGAAGCACCGGCUAACUACGUG